Molecule: long non-coding RNA, 199 nt
Organism: Notothenia coriiceps (black rockcod)
Lineage: Eukaryota; Metazoa; Chordata; Actinopteri; Perciformes; Nototheniidae
Exons: 2
Source: RefSeq, a predicted model, not a curated record
UAAACAAUGGCAGAACACCAGCAUAUGUGCCUGCGGCUCACAUGUCCAGUGGGGCUGCAGGGGGAGGUCGUGCAAACCAGAUAUAUGUCCUUCUGGUUGGAGCAGCCUGCGUCGGGGGUGGAGUAUACACAUACCGAACUGUCAAGGGAGACGGCCAAAGAUAUCAGGAACGUAUUGAAGAAAUCUCCUCCCGGCCAAA